Molecule: long non-coding RNA, 1452 nt
Filed under: Mytilus galloprovincialis (Mediterranean mussel)
Lineage: Eukaryota; Metazoa; Mollusca; Bivalvia; Mytilida; Mytilidae
Source: RNAcentral
GAUAAUUGGUAGAAUUAAAAGUGGGCAAACCAGGAGUAAACCGCAUGUAUAAUGGCAAUAAAUUUAGGCAAACAUGGCUAUUUUAUACAUAAUAAAAUUGAAAAUGGAAAUGAAGAAUGUGUCAAAGAGAAAAAAAAACCGACAAAACAGCAGAAGACAGCAAAAGGCCACUAUUGGGUCUUCAACACAGCAAGAAAAUCCUGCACUGGGAGGUAGGCUUUUUUGUAAUUCUAAAAUAUUGUCCAACAGUCUUCCUAAAUGUUCUGCAGAAAGUGAUGGUUAAUAAAUAGUUAUAAUCCUCUGUCUUUUUAAUCAGGACCAUCAUAGAUAAAAGCACAAACAGUUUCUAACCAGUUGCUAGACAGAGGUAAACUUGUCUGUAUUACAGGCAUUCACAAGUAACAGGCUAGUAGUUAACAUUAGAAAUACCUUCAUAACUAGAGGCUCUAAAGAGCCUGUGUCGCUCACCUUGGUCUAUGUGAAUAUUAAACAAAGGAAGAAGAUGGAUUCAUGACAAAAUUGUGUUUUGGUGAUGAUAAUGUGUUUGUACAUCUUACUUUACUGAACAUUCUUGCUGCUUACAAUUAUCUCUAUCUAUAAUGAAUUUGGCCCAGUAGUUUCAGUAAAAAAUGUUUGUAAAAAUUUACAAAUUUUAUGAAAAUUGUUAAAAAUUGACUAUAAAGGACAAUAACUCCUUAGGGGUCAAUUGACCAUUUCAGUCAUGUUGACUUAUUUGUAAAUCUUACUUUGCUGUACAUUAUUGCUGUUUAAAGUUUAUCUCUAUCUAUAAUAAUAUUCAAGAUAAUAACCCAAAACAGUAAAAUUUCCUUAAAAUUACCAAUUUAGGGGCAGCAACCCAACAACGGGUUGUCCGAUUCAUCUGAAAAUUUCAGGGCAGAUAGAUCUUGACCUGAUAAACAAUUAAACCACAUGUCAGAUUUGCUCUAAAUGCUUUGGUUUUUGAGUUAUAAGCCAAAACACUGCAUUUUACCCCUAUGUUCUAUUUUUAGCCAUGGUGGCCAUCUUGGUUGGUUGGCCGGGUCACGCCACACAUUUUUUAAACAAGUUACCCCUAUGAUGAUUGUUGCCAAGUUUAGUUCAGGGGUUUCAUUAUCUUUCAUGUUGACUGGUACUUUCCACGUUUCUAGGUGGUACUUUUCAAUUUAUUCCAUGAAUAUCUUAUAUAAAAAUUCCUACAUUUAGGCGGUACUUGUCAAUAGCAUAGGAGGGUAAAAGUACCGGGUACCGCCUCCUAAUGAAUGGCCUGUUAGUUUAAUUUGGCCCAGUAGUUUCAGAGAAGAAGAGUUUUGUAAAAGAUUACUAAGAUUUACGAAAAAAUGGUUAAAAAUUGACUAUAAAGGGCAAUAACUCCUUCAGGGGUCAACUGACCAUUUCGGUCAUGCUGACUUAUUUGUAAAUCUUACUUUGCCUGAACAUUAUUGCUGUUUACAG